Molecule: ribosomal RNA, 253 nt
Filed under: uncultured bacterium
Lineage: Bacteria
Description: partial 16S ribosomal RNA
Rfam family: Bacterial small subunit ribosomal RNA
Source: RNAcentral
UACAGAGGUCUCAAGCGUCGUUCGGAUUCACUGGGCGUAAAGGGUGCGUAGGCGGCGCGGUAAGUCGGGUGUGAAAUUUCGAGGCUUAACUUCGAAACUGCAUUCGAUACUGCCGUGCUUGAGGACUGGAGAGGAAACUGGAAUUUACGGUGUAGCGGUGAAAUGCGUAGAUAUCGUAAGGAAGACCAGUGGCGAAGGCGGGUCUCUGGACAGUUCCUGACGCUGAGGCACGAAGGCCAGGGGAGCAAACGGG